UAUUCCAGUACAACAGAUAUCCGCCAGGGGACUACGAGCGCCAGCUUAAAACCCAAAGGACUUGGCGGUGCUUCAGACCCCCCUAGAGGAGCCUGUUCUAGAACCGAUAACCCCCGUUCAACCUCACUACUCCUUGCUUUUCCCGCCUAUAUACCACCGUCGCCAGCUUACCCUGUGAAGGCACUACAGUAAGCAGAAUGAGUAAUACUCAAAACGUCAGGUCGAGGUGUAGCGUACGAAGUAGGAAGAAAUGGGCUACAUUGUCUGAUCCAGAUUAUUCACGGAAGAUUGUCUGAAACGACAAUCCAAAGGUGGAUUUAGCAGUAAAGGGGGAAUAGAGUGCCCCCUUGAAGCCGGCUCUGAAGCGCGCACACACCGCCCGUCACUCUCCCCAACAACCGCCCACACCAAGGUAGAUAACACAACACCCGUCACAAGGGGAGGCAAGUCGUAACAUGGUAAGUGUACCGGAAGGUGCACUUGGAAUAAU
Molecule: ribosomal RNA, 490 nt
Filed under: Alosa fallax (twaite shad)
Lineage: Eukaryota; Metazoa; Chordata; Actinopteri; Clupeiformes; Clupeidae
Description: partial 12S ribosomal RNA
Rfam family: Bacterial small subunit ribosomal RNA
Source: RNAcentral